Molecule: ribosomal RNA, 253 nt
Filed under: uncultured bacterium
Lineage: Bacteria
Description: partial 16S ribosomal RNA
Rfam family: Bacterial small subunit ribosomal RNA
Source: RNAcentral
UACGGAGGGGGUUAGCGUUGUUCGGAAUUACUGGGCGUAAAGCGCGCGUAGGCGGCUUUGUAAGUCAGAGGUGAAAGCCCGGGGCUCAACCCCGGAACUGCCUUUGAAACUAGAUUGCUAGAAUCCUGGAGAGGUGAGUGGAAUUCCGAGUGUAGAGGUGAAAUUCGUAGAUAUUCGGAAGAACACCAGUGGCGAAGGCGACUCACUGGACAGGUAUUGACGCUGAGGUGCGAAAGCGUGGGGAGCAAACAGG